CCUGUGUCAGGGGUGUCUGUGACCUUCUGUGCGGUGCCUGCACCCCUGUGCUGGGCUCAGUGCAGUGCUUUGCUGUUCUUCAAGUGAAGAGUUCAGCUCAGAGAUCAGUUUGUCGUUAGUUAAGCAGAAUUUGACUUGCUGCCAUGAGAUUUCACUGGUAUGGGCUAUACCUCAGUGCCUUUUUGGCUGUUUCUGUCCUCUGAAAAGGACCAACAGCUGUAAUCGUGCAGUGACCUUGCUUACUUCAGAAAAAGCUGAGGAAAAUCUCCCAAUAGUAACAAACUGGGGAGGGGGGGAGUUGCAUACAUCACACCAGAGAUGCAGGUUCUUUUUGCAGAUGCACAGUUAAUUUUGACUGGGGGAGAGAGGGGGAAAUAAACAGGAAGGAUGUCUCUUCUCACUCUUAUCAGAGUGGGGGAAAAUGGAGUAUUUCUUCAUUUGUAGCUUAGUUGGCACUCCUGGAGGAUUUACUGAAGCAGAAAGAAUAAAAAUGCCGUUUGGUGAGCAGCAGCUGUCCAGAAGUGGAUGUGGUGGCUGCGGGGUCAGGCUGGUGGGUGCUGUCUGUGCUGUCUGUAGCACCCAGACCACCAGAAGCAUUCAGUAAUAGCUUCCUGGUGCUGACAUGGCUGCCAUCACAGUCUGUGCUCUCCAGCAACAUUCCCAAGGCAAGGCUUUCCCGCUAGUUGGCUGCGUUUGCUCCCAGCUCUGCUCUUCUCUCUGCUCCUCAGACACCAUCAUGACAGUGCGGCGCUACUCCACCGCAGCCUCGGCACCCUCCAGGCCUCACCGGGCCGGCAAGCGGCCCCCGAGCAGCGGGCAGCUGGAGGUGUGGAGCAGGGCCGAGCCGCACGCCUGCCCCGCUGCACAGCACACCAGUGACGGGGGCAGAGGCCUUGGGAAGAGCCCAGCCAACUGCUUCUCCAGCAGCAGUUCCAGCAAAAUGAGGCUGUUCCAGGAGCACGUCCGCAGGUGCAGGGGCAAAGUAAAGGCUGUUAGUUUCCUGUUACCAAUGGAUGUGUCAUAUGCUGAAAAUCAAAGUUCUUUCAAAAGCCCACAAAAUCAGGACACAAAACAGUUAAGUACCAUCACUGAAAAGGAUAUGUGA
Molecule: long non-coding RNA, 1105 nt
Filed under: Numida meleagris (helmeted guineafowl)
Lineage: Eukaryota; Metazoa; Chordata; Aves; Galliformes; Numididae
Description: lncRNA (ENSNMEG00000014196.1)
Source: RNAcentral